Molecule: long non-coding RNA, 380 nt
Organism: Pezoporus occidentalis (night parrot)
Lineage: Eukaryota; Metazoa; Chordata; Aves; Psittaciformes; Psittacidae
Exons: 2
Source: RefSeq, a predicted model, not a curated record
GCUGGUGUGAAAUUGAUUUCUAUGCCUGAAUCUUUCCUGUAUUUCCACAGGAAUCUGUCUGAACUGGCCAGUUUCAGACACAUUUGAGGGAGGUGGCAGAUGCUUUUAGGAUACUGGUUUCAAGAAACCCUGGGCCACGAGAAGAAGGAGAAGACCAGUGUUAAGCUUUCUUUGGAGCAUUCUCCUUGUCAGAUACCAAAGAAUUAAACCAUGAGCUCCUGGCCAGCCUACUGGAAGGUUUCACUGAAGAGAACUGAAUGCUGAUUGAACUGAACAGCCUGAAUUGAAUAACGCUUGACCUCUAUACACCUGUCAAUUGGAUAGGAGUCACUUACGUGAAUUACUAUUAAAAUAGUAAAAAUCAAAGCAAUGCAAUUACA